This 469-nucleotide ribosomal RNA is filed under the name uncultured bacterium. RNAcentral describes it as "bacterial SSU rRNA". It matches the Rfam family "Bacterial small subunit ribosomal RNA", at positions 34 to 498 of the family's 1533-position model. The record is from RNAcentral.
CGCUGGCGGCAUGCCUUACACAUGCAAGUCGAACGGCAGCACGGAGCUUGCUCUGGUGGCGAGUGGCGAACGGGUGUGUAAUAUAUCGGAACGUACCCAGGAGUGGGGGAUAACGUAGCGAAAGUUACGCUAAUACCGCAUACGACCCAAGGGUGAAAGUGGGGGAUCGCAAGACCUCAUGCUCAUGGAGCGGCCGAUAUCUGAUUAGCUAGUUGGUGGAGUAAAGGCCUACCAAGGCAACGAUCAGUAGCUGGUCUGAGAGGACGACCAGCCACACUGGAACUGAGACACGGUCCAGACUCCUACGGGAGGCAGCAGUGGGGAAUUUUGGACAAUGGGGGCAACCCUGAUCCAGCAAUGCCGCGUGAGUGAAGAAGGCCUUCGGGUUGUAAAGCUCUUUUGUCAGGGAAGAAAAGGUCGCAGCUAAUAUCUGUGGCUCAUGACGGUACCUGAAGAAUAAGCACCGGCU